This is a long non-coding RNA of Capsicum annuum, 571 nucleotides long. RefSeq lists it as uncharacterized. The transcript is spliced from 3 exons. NCBI's taxonomy places the organism in Eukaryota, Viridiplantae, Streptophyta, Magnoliopsida, Solanales, Solanaceae. The record is from RefSeq and is a predicted model, not a curated record.
GGGAGGAAUAUCAAUCUAAGCCCAUAAUUUUCUCCGACUUUUCCCACAUUAAUCUCCUUCCAUAAUCAUGCAUUAAAUUAAAGCUCACUGAAGCUCAUUAAAGUGUAUAUGAAAAUAAAUUCGCUGAACAGUACAGAAAAAAAAAAGAAAAAAUAUUCAUUCAACCUCUGAUAGCAGACCUGUUGGACUAUCAAGGGCCAGAAUUCCUAGAAAUUUACAGGUUAAUCCAUCGUUGUUAUUAAGAAAUUAAGAGGCUAACCAUAUACUAAGGAGACUCUGGAGUAUUCAUUACACUGAAUAUCUUAGCACUGAAAAUGAUAUCCCAUCAGCAGAGUUGGAUGUGGACCAGUUUUGUACCCGAUAUGAUGCGCUUUUGUAGGACCAUAAAACUAGGUUUAUCAGGCCACUUUUUGAGCGUGAUGGUAGUGCGAUGAUUAUAAUUUAGUAGACGGUAGAAGUGAUUCUAGUUUUAUUAUUUCAUCCUAAUUAGCUUCAGUUUCAAUGUCUGUUAAGACGUUUUAGUUGUUUUUAUUUAUAUGGCAAUGAAUCACUACUCAUUUAACUUUAUCCA